GCCGUUCCAGUGAGGAGUCACUCUCAAUUGUUUCGCCUUUUUGGGAUAAUUCAGGAUCUAUGCUCUCAUCUUUGCAAGGUCUUUUCAAUGGCUUCCUUCCAAAUUUACCUGAUGCUUUCUGCAUCACACCACAAAUCUGAUUCAAAUCUUCAUCCUCAUAUUGCUUUUGCAAUUUGUCUAUAAUCUCACCUUGCCAUGGGGGAAUCUUCACUUCGUUCGUGUGAGUGAGUACAUUAACCGCAUCAGAGAUGUCACAAUGCAGUUUUGUCACUGAAUCACCUCUGCCAAGUUCUUCC
This 296-nucleotide unclassified non-coding RNA is filed under the name Hevea brasiliensis (rubber tree). The record is from RNAcentral. Lineage: Eukaryota; Viridiplantae; Streptophyta; Magnoliopsida; Malpighiales; Euphorbiaceae.